This is a non-coding RNA of Myotis brandtii (Brandt's bat), 76 nucleotides long. The record is from Rfam. NCBI's taxonomy places the organism in Eukaryota, Metazoa, Chordata, Mammalia, Chiroptera, Vespertilionidae.
GGCAGUUCUCAGGUGACGUACCCCGAAAUUGGGCUCCCUCCUCUCUGGUUCCUGGGUGUGUCCCCAGAGAACUACA